CCCUUUCCUCUCAAUUCUCUCUGCAGCCUCACAUAAACCCUAGCCGCCGCCACCCAAUUCCACCCUAAUCCACCUCAAUCCCCACCUAAUCAAUAGAAUCCCAUGGUUAUUUGAGAUGUAUACCGGUAUGGUGGCGCGUUUGUGUGAUUUCAUGGCCAUAUCUCAAAGAAAUUUGGUCCAGUUCUUGCUCAACCUCUAUCUCUUGUCUUUUUCUGGCAAUCCAUGGUGGUUCAAGUCAGAUCCUUUACUUUUCCAGUUAGAUCGGUAUCUUUUCAAAUUCUUUCUCACUUUUCUGAGUUCUCUGAAGCCCUAGCUUUAAGAUCUUUUGAUUUUCUUUCAGAUCUAUCUUAGAUCUGUGCUUAUUAUGAAGUUCUUAAGUGUUUGUCUCGAAGGAUCUUCGAUUUUUUUUCGAAAUGACUAUUCAUUUUUCGAUUAGGGUUUCUCUUAACCUCUUUUAAAGAUCUCUUCUCUAAUUUUUUGUGUUGUUUCAUGAUUUUUAC
RNAcentral lists this long non-coding RNA (500 nucleotides) under Nicotiana benthamiana. RNAcentral describes it as "long non-coding RNA (NBEN_LNC036901)". The record is from RNAcentral. Lineage: Eukaryota; Viridiplantae; Streptophyta; Magnoliopsida; Solanales; Solanaceae.